This 4534-nucleotide long non-coding RNA is filed under the name Malus domestica (apple). RNAcentral's name for it is "long non-coding RNA (MDOM_LNC015959)". Lineage: Eukaryota; Viridiplantae; Streptophyta; Magnoliopsida; Rosales; Rosaceae. The record is from RNAcentral.
CUAUAGAACCCUCAUUUUGGUAGACUAUCUGAUCGAUGACGAUAGGAUACUAAGAAUGUGUUUCAAAUGAUUUUCGAACACCUCUUCGUAGUAUAGAGGAUCGAUGAAUUUAUGCUACGAAGUUGUAUUUUAGAAAACUAUUUUGUGCGUACCUAGUGAACACUAUGCCGCUUGGGGCGAGGAUCUGGUGUUGGCAUUGAGGCCGAGAGAAAUAAUCCCUAGCGAAAGGCUGAGGGACACAGAGACAGGCAUUGGGUCUAGAUGGAGAUAUCUCUGGCUACGGGCACAGAGACUGAGGUGCAAGUAUUGGGCCGGGAGAUAUUAUUAUUCGGUGCAAGCAUUGGAUGUCACGACUUCCGGAUUUGCUGUCUUUCAGCACAAUUGUGCAAAUCUUUCUCUGUUUGAAUUGUCACAUUCUGGUUGAAAUACAAGAGUUCGUGUCGGGAUUGUGCCUCAUAGGUGACGAAUUGGUUGCUGGACGACUUUCAACAUCGAAUGGGAAUAUCAGGGUCGGGGCGUGUCAUAUUGGUAUCAGAGCAUAGGUUUUGUUCAGAGCAUACUUAGGAUUCUCUUCAAUUCUCGUUUUGUGUCGGUUAUGACAUCAUUUGGAUGUCACGACUUCUGGAUUUGCUGUCUUUCAGUGCAAUUGUGCAAAUCUUUCUCUGUUUGUAUUGUCACCUUCUGGUUGAAAUACAAGAGUUCGUGUCGGGAUUAUGCCUCAUAGGUGACGAAUUGGUUUGCUGGACGACUUUCAACAUCGAAUCGAUACUCAGCGACGUGUUUUAGAAAUCUCAGUUUGAGAAAUUCUGGUUAAGACCAACCGAGGUUCUGAAUCGGUGAUAUUACUCUGCAACAUGCGUUCCCUAGGAAUUGCGGGUGGAGUCGGCUCUACAUGGAAAUCUUUGGAAAUAAAAAAACCUUGGCGGUACGAGUUGGUUAAGACCAAUUAGAAAUCUAAAACGGUGAUAUCACUCUACGACAUGCCUUCCCCAGAAAUGGCGAGCAGAGCCAUGUCUUAGUGGUAAUUGGUGGCAUCGAAUCAGUGUUCUCGAACUCAUUACCACUGAGGAAAUUGGUGUGGUUCUUUAAAACAAUUCUCAGUAAUUAUUCUAUUGAUAACUUUCUUGCUUUUUCCAACGACGAAGUCAAGUUCCUUAACCUUUGACCGUCAGCUUUACACCAAAUUCUUCUAGUGCUGACUUCGUCUUCAUUCAUUAUUUUUCUUGGGAAACUCCUCAAUAGCAGACGCUAUUCUCAUCCAUUUUCCCAAGUGGAGCUACGAUUCUUGUCGUUGUAAUUGGACUUGGAUGAUGAAGACCCAGUCUUGUUUGGAUAAAUAGACUCAUUGAAUUCCACUUGAGUUUAGUACUCUGUGAUAAACCCUAGCACCUUGACCACGUACUUUUCGGUAGAGGUGAAUUUAGCCUUUUGCUUGUAGCCCAAUUGAUCAGUGCUCUUAUCCAGUAAUUGUUCAACCUUGUAAUUUUUCAGUGUAAUGGCUUGAGAUUCUACCACAUUCAUCAUUGUAUGAAGAUCGAGCUUUACUUUGAACUUCUCUGGACUCAUUGAGCUUUGGUUUGCUCAAGCGCAUCACUUUAAGGUAGCCAAUCGUGUCACUGCAUGCAUACGCAGGCUGCUUCAUAUAUUUCUACUUCGUCAUUCUGUUGAUUCAGAGGUUCUAUGUUUAAUUUUUGAACUCUAAAAGAACUCUCACAAAGUAUGGUGAAUUACGAAAUGUCUUUGGCCUCGUCAAAUCUUAUUAAUAUUUCUUAGUUAUCCUUGAGCGUAGACCUAUUUCCUUUUUGGCUAAGAAACCAGUUGACCAUACUGUGAUGAUUUGCAAAAUAAUCAUAAACAGUGACUUCUAUUUAUGCAUCUUCACCUUCCUUCGCUUGUUUGUUUCUCAAUGUGAAUUGAAUCAUGCCGGAACAAUACACUGAGGGCAAAAAAUCGGCAUGGUUUCUCACUCAACCAGAUAUUUUGUACUCUAGAUUUAGUGGACUCGUUUGACCCUCAAAUUCUUUAGUGUUCUUUCAGCCUUCUCGACAAAGUUUCUCGCUCAAUCAGUGAGGAAAUCAUGAUUAAUCAAUUAGGCGAAUGCGUACACCUAGUUUCCUAACGAUGCUAGCAAGAAUAUUUAGAGCAUAACCUGUACACACGCUUACUAGUCUUAUCGAGAAGAUUUUCUUUUGGCUUGAGAUUUGAGCUGUCAUUUGGUAAGAGUUUGGUGAAGAUUGUAGUGCAGGUGAUCAGCAGAUUGUAUCAAUAUCUUCAGACUGAAUUGUUGAUCAUCAUCUUACUACAAUUCAUAGGCAUCACAUCGGUAUCUCAAGGUACGGUUAUCAAGUGAGUUCCUCGUUGACAAAAUUUUGGACUUACUGGUCACAUUUGGAGGAACUGAGAAGAAUAGAAUCCUUGGUGCUAAUUAGAGUUUUGAUGACAACAGUUUUUGUUUUGUUUGGUUUAGGUACGACACUUUUGCGAGAUGGUACGAGAACUUCUGCAAGCAACACUGGUUGACAAAGGGAUUUUUUGAACUGGUAUUCGGAAGAUGAAAUUUACGACGUGGGAAAUUGUGCACCCUCAAGGAAUUACUUGCUUGCUUAUCAAUAUAACAAAUGUGAGGUCGAUAUUGCGGGCUACAGAUUGUGAUAUCGAUAGCUUAUUUGUUGGGUUCAUUAAGCAAGUGGGCAAGAAGACCCGUCUACAACAGUUGUUGCGGAUUUAUUAUUCUUGGGGCUCGACCCAAAAACAUUCAUUCUCAUAGUACGUGACGUUUCAUAUGCCUAGGCGAGAUCCACUCUUAUUUUUUGGUUUUGGAUUUUCAGUAUAAGUAUUUUAACUUCCUUUACUUUAGUUAUUUGUAUUUUUGAAGUUACAAAUGUUUUGGGGAAGUAUUUCCGUUUUCAGUUUUAAGUUUAGCACGAGUUUUUGACCUAUAUGUUUUUACCUAUCUAUUUUGGACGUUAUCGUAUUUUAUGUACUUACUUUUGACCUUAAGUUAUUUUGUGUUUUCGACCUUAUAUCUUUAUAAAGUAUUUUUCUACGUUUACUUUGAUGGGGAAGAAAGCAAGAGUUUGGAGGCAUGACAGAGGAUUUUGUGACCCGCUCGCGACAGUGUGGCAUAUUCUCUUUGAUGCACCCACUCUGACUUAAUUACCCUUUAUACAUAUAUUCUUCUUUCUAUUUUCGAGUAUUUUAAUUAAGUAAAUUAUUUUAAAUUUCGGGACGAAAUUCUUUUAAGGGGGUAGAUUGUAACAACCCGUUCCGGGAUUUACUAUAUAGAAAAAGGUAUUUUUGUAUUUUCACCAAGUUUGGGAAUUUAUUUUCCUUUUAAAAUUUGUUUUUGGGUCUUAAAUGGUGAGCCAAGGGGACCCACCCCUGAUUUCUGUCCCCAACCUCUCAUCUCUCUCUUCUCUCUCUGUUCUCCCUUUCCCGUAUCUCUCUCCAUUUCUCUGUAACUCUCUCCCUCUCACCCAUGUUCUCCCUCCUUGCACACCCUCAUCUCCCUCAUCAUCAACACCAUCAGCUUUCCCUCUCUCUCCCACCGCUGCAAGUCACGGCAUAAACCCGAGGAAGAGCUCCGGCGAGUCUCUGUCACACUCGACAUGGGUAGGUCUCGAAAAAACACUCCAAAUACUUCUCUUUUCAUCCCUAUAGUUCUUUUCUACCCCGUGGUUGUGUUUUUGGACGUCAAACCAUGAAGAAACACGUCGGGGAGACUUCCCUGGAUUUCUGACGAGAAACCAACGGCUUUCGAGCCAAUUUUCGGCCAAACCACGGUGAGUUGGCCGGCGUGUAAGGUAUCAAUCUCUUCGUCUCUCUGAGUACUACAACCUUCCUUUUUGUUUCACCCAAUUUCGUUGAGUAUUGAAGAAGUUAUACUCAUUUGAAUCUUACCCAAUUUCCGGCGAGUCCGACAGUUUUCGAGGCGUUUUCCGGCCAAACUACAGUGAGUUAGACAUCGUGAGAGAUACCAUUCUCUUUGUCUCUUCGAGAACUACAACUUUCGUUCUUGUUUCACUUGAUUUUGUUGAGUAGUGACAAAGUUAUGGCCAUUUAAAGUUGGGUGGUUUUCCGGCCGAAUUUCCGGCCUUCUUCUUCCUUUGAAUCCGGUAGCCCAAAAACCCCAAGGCCUUUGGGCCUUUCCUGCUGAGCCCAACCCAAAACCCAUUUCUGUUUUAUUAUUUAUUUUAUUUGUUGUUUUUAAAAUAAGGGCCUUAGGCCGGUUUUUGUUAAGGGCUUUAAGCCCAAAACCCUUUUAACCCUCUAACUCAUUUAACCUAAAACUCAAAUCCUUUUAUUUUGUUUUAAGCCCAAACCCUAAAACCCACUUCCCUAUUUAUUUAAACUCUAAGCCCAAUCCUCUAAUCUAUUAGCCCAAAACCUAUUUAAGUUAGGAGACCCUUAACCCUAGAUCCCGUCCAACCCAAACCCUUUGUGUGGAAUAUUCCGUUAGGGAAUAUUCUUUAGAAUAUUCUUUUGACUUUACGAAAUGUAUCUGGGACCCUUCUUAGGGUAAGACGACGUCCUG